This 253-nucleotide ribosomal RNA is filed under the name uncultured bacterium. Its description in RNAcentral is "partial 16S ribosomal RNA". It matches the Rfam family "Bacterial small subunit ribosomal RNA", at positions 524 to 776 of the family's 1533-position model. The record is from RNAcentral.
UACGUAGGGGGCAAGCGUUAUCCGGAUUCACUGGGCGUAAAGGGAGCGUAGACGGCGACGCAAGUCUGGAGUGAAAGCCCGGGGCCCAACCCCGGGACUGCUCUGGAAACUGCGGCGCUGGAGUACGGGAGGGGCAGGCGGAAUUCCUGGUGUAGCGGUGAAAUGCGUAGAUAUCAGGAGGAACACCGGUGGCGAAGGCGGCCUGCUGGACUGCAACUGACGUUGAGGCCCGAAAGCGUGGGGAGCAAACAGG